This 513-nucleotide long non-coding RNA is filed under the name Chinchilla lanigera (long-tailed chinchilla). RNAcentral describes it as "lncRNA (ENSCLAG00000025970.1)". The record is from RNAcentral. Lineage: Eukaryota; Metazoa; Chordata; Mammalia; Rodentia; Chinchillidae.
GUGGAUGUAAUGUGCUCCCUUAUUGUCUAAUGUGUUUCUUUCUUCAUGUGAGCAAAGAAGAAGAAGAAGACAGUCCCCGUGUUACCUCAGCAGCAAGCCUGGCAGUUUGCGAAUCCUGGUGUUAAAAUGCAGUGACAGGAUUUUCAGCAACGAGGAAAAUGCUCCAGUGAAAUUUCUGAUUUUACUUCAAAGAAAAAUUCCGGUCCUAGAAAUUUGAGGUCCAAAGUCCAGACAUUUCCGCCUAAAGAACAUCAACAAGCAGAAAGAACACACACUUAAAGUCAAGUCGCUGGGUUUAAUUCCUGGCUUCACACUUCAACUGUUUCCUACAACCAAGUCACCUAUCUUCUCUGAACCUGCUUCCCUACUGUGGGAAGAAGAAAUAUCAUCUUCCAACAUCCAAAUAUCAGAAGACUACACACAAAUGUUAUUAGAUUAAAGAAAAGGAUGUCUAGCACUUGGGCUGAUAUGUAGAAAAUGCUUAAAUACUUAAUAAACGUUACUUGAAUCCAG